GUACUCUUAGUUCAGUUGGUUAGAAUGCCAGAUUGUGACUCUGGAGGUCAUGGGUUCGAUCCCCAUAGAGUACCCCA
RNAcentral lists this transfer RNA (77 nucleotides) under Candidatus Peribacteria bacterium. Its description in RNAcentral is "tRNA-His". It matches the Rfam family "tRNA". From Rfam's summary of the family: Transfer RNA (tRNA) molecules are approximately 80 nucleotides in length. Lineage: Bacteria; Candidatus Peregrinibacteriota; Candidatus Peribacteria. The record is from RNAcentral.